RNAcentral lists this ribosomal RNA (547 nucleotides) under uncultured bacterium. Its description in RNAcentral is "bacterial SSU rRNA". It matches the Rfam family "Bacterial small subunit ribosomal RNA", at positions 773 to 1324 of the family's 1533-position model. The record is from RNAcentral.
ACGGAAUAGAUACCCGGGUAGUCCACGCCCUAAACGAUGUCUACUAGUUGUCGGGGAUUCAUUUCCUUGGUAAACGCAGCUAAACGCGUGAAAGUAGACCGCCUGGGGAGUACGGCCGCAAGGUUAAAACUCAAAGGAAUUGACGGGACCCGCACAAGCGGUGGAUGAUGUGGAUUAAUUCGAUGCAACGCGAAAAACCUUACCUACGCUUGACAUGCCAGGAACUUUCCAGAGAUGGAUUGGUGCCCGAAAGGGAACCUGGACACAGGUGCUGCAUGGCUGUCGUCAGCUCGUGUCGUGAGAUGUUGGGUUAAGUCCCGCAACGAGCGCAACCCUUAUCCUUAGUUGCUACGCAAGGGCACUCUAGGGAGACUGCCGGUGACAAACCGGAGGAAGGUGGGGAUGACGUCAAGUCCUCAUGGCCCUUAUGUGUAGGGCUUCACACGUCAUACAAUGGUCGGUACAGAGGGUCGCCAACCCGCGAGGGGAGCCAAUCCCAGAAAACCGAUCGUAGUCCGGAUUGCAGUCUGCAACUCGACUGCAUGAA